AAGCACGGAGCUCCUAACCCUCCAGUCUCUGACAGAGGGACUCAAUUUUGCAGAGAGACCCUGAUUACAGGGCUGGUCGGUGAAAGUGCCAGGAUUCCAACCCCGGGUCCCAGGGUCGUGUCCUCCACCGUGCCGCUCUGCCUUCAGCCUGGGGGCUGCGUAUCUUACUCCCUGGAUGCUGGGAGCUGAGCUGCAGAGGGUGAGGGCAGGAUUCCACGUAUCCAGCAGGUUUCUCCAAGACCCACCCAGCCUGUGACUGGACCCUGGGGCCCGAGGUUGGAGCAGGGCAUGGGUGAGGCUCUGGAGGGCAGUUGGGGGUGCAGGGAGCAGGAAGUGGACACUCCAGGGAAAUGUCUUCCACCUGCUGGAGGGAGAAAGUAACGAAUUCCUGGAGGGCUCUGGACACUCUGGAGGGAGGAGCAGCUACUUCUUCGCUGCUGUUUCUGAACCAGGGGAGUGGGGGGCCACCUCGGUGUCCCCUCCCCGAGCGCCAGGAACACGGCUGUUGGCUGAGACAGAAGAGACACAGUGGGAUUCUUCUGCCUCUGGCCUCUAGGCUGCCAGGUCUGAGACCGGGAGACCUCCCAUCUUCCCUUCACCCUUCUUCUCUCCCUUCCCUGGCCACACCAGGCCUCUCCUCUGACCUUCCCUCAGAGGCUCCAUGGUGUUUGGGGCAGCCUCUUUCCCCUCUCC
Bos taurus (domestic cattle) is the source of this 693-nucleotide long non-coding RNA. The record is from Ensembl. NCBI's taxonomy places the organism in Eukaryota, Metazoa, Chordata, Mammalia, Artiodactyla, Bovidae.